Molecule: ribosomal RNA, 335 nt
Filed under: uncultured Planctomycetales bacterium
Lineage: Bacteria; Pseudomonadati; Planctomycetota; Planctomycetia; Planctomycetales
Description: bacterial SSU rRNA
Rfam family: Bacterial small subunit ribosomal RNA
Source: RNAcentral
CAAAGGCCCCAAAGGAAGCCACGGCUAACUCUGUGCCAGCAGCCGCGGUAAUACAGAGGUGGCAAGCGUUGUUCGGUAUUAUUGGGCGUAAAGAGCACGUAGGUGGUUCUGUAAGUCAGAUGUGAAAGCCUUCUGUUCAAAGGAAGAACGGCAUCUGAAACUACAGAUCUUGAGUGUAGGAGGGGAGAGUGGAACUUCUGGUGGAGCGGUGAAAUGCGUAGAUAUCAGAAGGAACGUCGGCGGCGAAAGCGACUCUCUGGCCUAUUACUGACACUGAGUGUGCGAAAGUUAGGGGAGCAAACGGGAUUAGAUACCCCGGUAGUCCUAGCCGUAAA